RNAcentral lists this transfer RNA (72 nucleotides) under Ovis aries (sheep). It matches the Rfam family "tRNA". Rfam says of the family: Transfer RNA (tRNA) molecules are approximately 80 nucleotides in length. Lineage: Eukaryota; Metazoa; Chordata; Mammalia; Artiodactyla; Bovidae. The record is from Rfam by way of RNAcentral.
UCCCUGGUGGUUCAGACGGUGAAGAAUCCGCCUGCAACGCGGGAGACCCAGGCUCGAUCCCUGGGCUGGGAA